Molecule: ribosomal RNA, 444 nt
Filed under: uncultured bacterium
Lineage: Bacteria
Description: partial 16S ribosomal RNA
Rfam family: Bacterial small subunit ribosomal RNA
Source: RNAcentral
GUAGGGAAUAUUGGGCAAUGGUCGGAAGACUGACCCAGCCAUGCCGCGUGCAGGAAGACGGCCCUCUGGGUUGUAAACUGCUUUUAUCUGGGAAGAAAAAGGCCAUGCGUGGCAAAUUGCCGGUACCAGAUGAAUAAGCACCGGCUAACUCCGUGCCAGCAGCCGCGGUAAUACGGAGGGUGCGAGCGUUGUCCGGAUUUAUUGGGUUUAAAGGGUGCGUAGGCGGCUGAUUAAGUCAGCGGUGAAAGACUUCGGCUUAACCGGAGCAGUGCCGUUGAUACUGGUUGGCUUGAGUGUCGGAGGGGGACAUGGAAUUGAUGGUGUAGCGGUGAAAUGCAUAGAUACCAUCAGGAACACCGAUAGCGAAGGCAUUGUACUGGCCGACAACUGACGCUGAUGCACGAAAGUGUGGGGAUCGAACAGGAUUAGAUACCCCGGUAGUCC